UUAAUAACGUUCUCUCAACAGAGCAGUAAGACUUGAAUAUACGGUACAUGGUAAACUCAAGAGUGGCAGAGAUCCAGCAAGUAUAAAGAGACACAAGAGAGCCUAAAGAAACCCUCAGUGUUUAUUUCAAUGCAAAUGAGAGCAUGUGUCUCUGUGUGUUUGUGCGUGGACGACUGUGUUUAGUCUUGCAGAUGUUGAUCGAAUGCUCACUGGUUGUUUACACCAUUUCCAAAAUGUGUGAUCUAAGAAAAACUGCUAGUUUAUCUUCUGUUUAAGAAAGACAGGGAAGGAGAGAGAGCUCCGGAGGACAGAUCCAGGGAAAAUAAGCAUGACUUGCUCAUACUUAACGCUUACAGCGAGAUGAUCAUUCCUGGGCUUCUCUCCACACUGGAGUCAUUUCACAGAUAUGUUCCAUGAUUACUUACAUCACAUUUGACCAAAAUUCCCUCACCAGCUUAAUGCAUAAUAAUUAUCUUCUUAAACGAAAUUCAGAGGUUGGAUGAGAAAAAUGAACACAUUUUCAAAAUGAAUCUUUUUGCAUCGAAAUCCAGAGUUAAUCACUUCAUCCUGUCUGGACACAAUGAUUUCAAUUAAAAUCAACAUCUGUUCAAGUAAAUUGAAAUACUACACUGUAAAAAUCUAUUAAUCAAAGUUGCAAAUAAAACAGAUUAUUGCAGUAUGAUUAACAAGGAAAUAAAACUAAAUACAAAAAUAAAUAGUAAAAUAAUAUAUUUUAUCAGUAAAUCAAAGUAUUGUUCGGCCACAUGCAGAGGGAAAUGUUUUGAUGUGUUUGGUGAACAGCUGAAAUAAAGUGUUUUUGAAUGUUAAUGUAUACUCCGUGAAAUGAGACGUACACAACACUCCUACACAGAGCUGUAUGAAUGUUUACAGCACACCAUAUACAGUGUGAUGUCUCAUAAAAGAACUUCGUUGUGUGUGUGUGUGUGUGUGUGUUUGUGGACCUAACCAUAUUUUAGGGAAAUUUUUUUUGCAAGUUAAAUCUCUUAAAAUCUCUUUUUAGGGAUGUCCUCAUUUGUAAAAAUGGUUUAAAAAUCUGCAAAUCUAUAAAUCCAGGUCUAUGUUCACCUGAAUUUACUUUCGGCCCCAUUUACCGCAAUAUACAAUACUAUCUGCUACAUGUUUUCAUGAGCAUAACUAGUUUUUUGCUUGAACUCUCUCAGAAAAAAGGUACGAAAGCUGUCACUUGGGUGGUACCUUUGCAAAAGGUACACUUUUGUACCUUUUAGGUACUAAUAUGUACGCUUUAGGACUGUUUAGGUAAACAACAGAACAGAUUUGGAGAAAUUUAGCAUUCCAUCACUUGCUCACCAAUGGAUCCUCUGCAGUGAAUGGGUGCCGUCAGAAUGAGAGUGCAAACAGUUGAUAACAGUGAACUAUUGUUUUUUACACUAUCAACUGUUCACUGAAAGGUUCUUGGAGGAAUCGAAAUGUUUCCUCCAUAACAUUGCGAAAACCCCUCUUUUGGAAGCUUUAUUUGUUUUGUUUAUUUGUGUUGUGCAUCCUGGAUAUUCUGGUUCUGUUGAUUUUGUCACUACAAUAACACAAUGCAUAACAACAUGUUGACAGAAUUCUCAUUUUGACGUAAUGUCAGUAAUGUCAGUUAAACCAUAGACAGCACGUAUUGAAAUAUCAAAUGUCUCAACUGAAACGGACCAAUGUGUGUGCAUUAGAAACAACACGAAAGAUCUGCCGGUCAGCCGCAUUGCAUGCAUUUCUCUGGAGUCAUACCGCAACUACAAACAUUUGUGUCCCGGUGACCCGAGGUCUGACUGACAGGCCUUAAUCUGCAUCUGUGUGUGCAUGUGUGUUUAGAAAGGUUAAAGCGUUUUUGGUGGGCGGCCAAGGUUCAGGUUGUAUCUGGACGCUUUGAAACGGGUUGGUAUGCGAUCAGCUGCGCCGAGAGCGCAGAGUAUCUGAUUUCUUCCAAGUGGAGACACACAGAACACACACUGAUCUCAUUAGCCUUUGCUUUGUUGCUGUAAUCAUGUAGCACAUUAAAAAUAGAUCAAAAUGCAUGGGUGCAUUUAUAAAAGUAACUUUGUGAGACGUUUUGUCCUUAAAAUAUAUGUGUAUAAUCAAACACACACACACACACACUAGAGAGAGGAAGGUAGCCACUAUACAGAUGUUUGCUCCACCUUUUCAUGAACAUAAUCAAAGCGGAACUGCAACAGUGUAAUAAAUCAGCUCAAAGUAUGUGACCUAUAUACUGACCUGACCUUCACCGGCACUCUUUUACUGGCUGUUCCUGUCUCGCUCUUUAUCACACACUUCCCAGCAAGCACACUUAUGGGUUUAAUGUUGUGAAAAUGAUGUAACAUUUUCACCGUAAGAUGAAACAUUUUUAUUGUCAUAUGCUCACAAUGUUGUAUCUUGGUUGUAUAAAAUGAAUGCUUUUUGGUAACCUGGUAACCCCCAAAAAUAUUUUCAUUGCUUUCACGUCAAGCUUUGUACUGUGACCUAAAAACUGCAAUCAAAAUGCAACAUUCAUUUUUAUCUCUCUAUUUAUAACACACUUCCAAGCAACCAUAGUUGUGUUAUGCUAGGUUUUUUUUUUAUAUGUAGCAAAUUUGAAUAAUGUUGUGUGUGUGUGUAUAACAUUUAUGCUAUAUUAAAUAAUAAUAUAUUAAAUAAUUAUUUUUAGGUAAUUAUAUAUUCAUAUUUAUUUACCUAUUAUAUUACAUUACAUAACAUUACAUAUAAAUUAAGAAUCUUACAGCAGUUCAAAAAUAAAUAAGAAAUUCCAUAAAAUCAUGCAUUUCAUUUUAUUAAUAUUACCAUUACCCAUAUGAUUUAUUGUAAUGUGUCAGAGUGUCUUCAGAGUUUUUGGUUUUCCAAAUGUUUCUUGAGUUUAGAUUAUUUUAUGCCAAUAAUUUGCUGCAAAAAACACAUUGUGACCAGUAUUUUUUAAAUGAAUCCAAAUUUAGUAUAAUUUUUGGCUUAUUUUCUUCUACCCUGUGUAGUUUUGCUCAUUUUCUUCAAGGAUUGACUAGCUUCUUCCAAACCACAUUGUGCCUAAACAAUGAGAUUGAUUAGAUGCACAACCUUUGACAUCAAUAACAAAGAUAUGACCUGUGACCCUUUUGUGUGCUGCGCUUAGGGACGAUGUCAUCACCAUGGGCCUCAGAGAUGGAAAAAUGACAGGGCUAUGCAGGGGGUCGAGAGUUCCUGGCUGUAAUGUGACCCUGCUGAUGCUUCAGUCAUGCCUGCUAUGAGAGGCCUCUGUUUGGGCCACAGCCCCCUCCUCCGGGGUCUGGAUGGCCUGUCCACCACUGUCGGGGGUUUUGCUGGGAGGACGUGGGAUGGCCGAACAACACAGAGCCGGAUAUACAGUGGCCAUGAACAGGCCAAAUCUAUCCCACUCUCCACCUGCUAGACAUACAUCACCAAGACCAUCUGCAGCAAUUCUGCAACCUGCUUCCUAAACUGGACACAAUAACACACUGGAGUUGUUAGUUUGUUUCCUCAGCCAAAGUGAGCUAAAUAUUA
Molecule: long non-coding RNA, 3510 nt
Organism: Carassius gibelio (silver crucian carp)
Lineage: Eukaryota; Metazoa; Chordata; Actinopteri; Cypriniformes; Cyprinidae
Exons: 3
Source: RefSeq, a predicted model, not a curated record